Molecule: ribosomal RNA, 253 nt
Filed under: uncultured bacterium
Lineage: Bacteria
Description: partial 16S ribosomal RNA
Rfam family: Bacterial small subunit ribosomal RNA
Source: RNAcentral
UACGGAGGGGGCUAGCGUUGUUCGGAAUUACUGGGCGUAAAGCGCACGUAGGCGGCUUUGUAAGUUAGAGGUGAAAGCCCAGGGCUUAACCCUGGAAUUGCCUUUAAGACUGCAUCGCUAGAAUCGUGGAGAGGUAAGUGGGAUUCCGAGUGUAGAGGUGAAAUUCGUAGAUAUUCGGAAGAACACCAGUGGCGAAGGCGACUUACUGGACAGGUAUUGACGCUGAGGUGCGAAAGCGUGGGGAGCAAACAGG